AGUGAACGCUGGCGGUAGGCCUAACACAUGCAAGUCGAACGGCAGCACAGUAAGAGCUUGCUCUUACGGGUGGCGAGUGGCGGACGGGUGAGGAAUACAUCGGAAUCUACUUUUUCGUGGGGGAUAACGUAGGGAAACUUACGCUAAUACCGCAUACGACCUACGGGUGAAAGCAGUGGAUCUUCGGACCUUGCGCGAUUGAAUGAGCCGAUGUCGGAUUAGCUAGUUGGCGUGGUAAAGGCCCACCAAGGCGACGAUCCGUAGCUGGUCUGAGAGGAUGAUCAGCCACACUGGAACUGAGACACGGUCCAGACUCCUACGGGAGGCAGCAGUGGGGAAUAUUGGGCAAUGGGCGCAAGCCUGAUCCAGCCAUACCGCGUGGGUGAAGAAGGCCUUCGGGUUGUAAAGCCCUUUUGUUGGGAAAGAAAAGCGGCAUGUUAAUACCCCGCUGUUCUGACGGUACCCAAAGAAUAAGCACCGGCUAACUUCGUG
This 492-nucleotide ribosomal RNA is filed under the name uncultured bacterium. RNAcentral describes it as "partial 16S ribosomal RNA". It matches the Rfam family "Bacterial small subunit ribosomal RNA", at positions 29 to 507 of the family's 1533-position model. The record is from RNAcentral.